AUGUUGGAUAGUAAUUAUAAUACAAUAUGGCGAAGCAAUUGACAGAAUUAGAGAAGAUCAUUUAAACUUUUAUCAAUAGCUGUGAGAUGGCAAAAGAUAAAAAAAUAACAUUGAUUGAUGCGGAGAUUAAUAUUUUAUAUGAAAUAAUAGUAAAUGAAGAAGAUGCAGAAAAAGUGAUAUGGUAUUUGCUCAAAUUUUACAUUACAAGCAAAAAGAUAUGCUCAACAGGAAUCAAUACCAAAACAAACAAUAGGUAUUCUUUUUUACUUUCCUAUAUUGCAGAUUUUAUCAAAAACUUGGAAAGAACUUAAUCAUGCAUUAAUAAUAACGAUUGUUUUUGGAAAAUUUGUGAACACUACUGAGAAAUAAUCAAUAAUAUCGCACAACUGGAAUCGUGCAGAAACAUUUUUAUUAAUUACAAUUUAUAAGAAAAUGGAAAGUGAUUUUACAUUAGAAAAAAUGACACAAAAACAGUGUUGGAAUAAAGUUGCACAAAUGAUGCAAGCAAAAGGUGUAAAUGCACAAAAAUGUUGCACAAAAUACCAAACGUUAAAACGAACCUACCGUAUGAUAAAUGAUCAUAAUCGUAACUCUGGUUAUAGAUGAAAGUGUAAAAGCAAACCAUGGAUGGAUCCAUUGGCUGACUCAAAUAUUGAAACGUCUGAAGUGUCUGAAGAUGAAAAGGAAAAUAGAAAAGAAAAAAAUUCAAAGAGAAGAAUUAAUCAUAUUUUACAAGAAUAUAUCAAAAAUUGCUUUAAUGAAAAAAAAAAUUGAAAUGUGAACCUGUAGAAAAGAGAUAUUCAGAAAAAAUGCAAAUUCUGAAUUAGAUGGAAAAUUUGUUGCAAAAGAUAGUUAACAAUCAAAACAAUUGAUAUUACUGAAAACUGAUUAUACAUUUAAAAUUGUUAAAACUAUGAUUAUACAUUUAAGACUGUUAAAACUGUGAUUAUUAAUUCAGUUUUGUUGUUUAAUUAAAAUACUUUUUUUAUUUAUAU
Molecule: long non-coding RNA, 995 nt
Organism: Cataglyphis hispanica
Lineage: Eukaryota; Metazoa; Arthropoda; Insecta; Hymenoptera; Formicidae
Exons: 4
Source: RefSeq, a predicted model, not a curated record